GCGCAGCAGUCGAGAAAACUUUACAAUGUGCGAAAGCACGAUAAGGGAACUCUGAGUGCCUCCUAAGGAGGCUGUUCAGGUGUCUAAAAAGCACCUGGAGUAAGGGCUGGGUAAGACCGGUGCCAGCCGCCGCGGUAACACCGGCAGCCCAGGUGGUAGCCACUUUUAUUGGGUCUAAAGCGUCCGUAGCCGGUUGAGUAAGUUCCUUGGGAAAUUUGGCUGCUCAACAGUCAAGCUUCCAGGGAAUACUGCUCGACUUGGGACUGGGAGAGGUCAGAGGUACUCCAGGGGUAGGGGUGAAAUCCAUUAAUCCCUGGGGGACCACCGGUAGCGAAGGCGUCUGACCAGACCAGGUCCGACGGUGAGGGACGAAGGCUAGGGUCGCGAACCGGAUUAGAUACCCCUGUAGU
This 410-nucleotide ribosomal RNA is filed under the name uncultured microorganism. Its description in RNAcentral is "bacterial SSU rRNA". It matches the Rfam family "Archaeal small subunit ribosomal RNA", at positions 330 to 745 of the family's 1478-position model. The record is from RNAcentral.